This 468-nucleotide ribosomal RNA is filed under the name uncultured bacterium. RNAcentral's name for it is "partial 16S ribosomal RNA". It matches the Rfam family "Bacterial small subunit ribosomal RNA", at positions 28 to 507 of the family's 1533-position model. The record is from RNAcentral.
GACGAACGCUGGCGGCGUGCUUAACACAUGCAAGUCGAACGGAAAGGCCCUGCUUUUGCGGGGUGCUCGAGUGGCGAACGGGUGAGUAACACGUGAGUAACCUGCCCUUGACUUUGGGAUAACUUCAGGAAACUGGGGCUAAUACCGGAUAGGAGCUCCUGCUGCAUGGGGGGGUUUGGAAAGUUUCGGCGGUUGGGGAUGGACUGGCGGCUUAUCAGCUUGUUGGGGGGGUAGUGGCUUACCAAGGCUUUGACGGGUAGCCGGCCUGAGAGGGUGACCGGCGACAUUGGGACUGAGAGAGGGCCCAGACUCCUACGGGAGGCAGCAGUGGGGAAUAUUGCCCAAUGGGCGGAAGCCUGAUGCAGCAACGCCGCGUGCGUGAAGACGGCCUGCGGGUUGUAAACCGCUUUCGCCUGUGACGAAGCGUGAGUGACGGUAAUGGGUAAAGAAGCACCGGCUAACUACGUG